CUUACAUUGAGAUUCCUUAUAAUUUAAAUCAUCCAUCCUUACAAUAGGUUUCGGAAAACCGAUGCAAUUGAACCUUCUUUGGAUGAGAAACAUGGGAAUAUGCAACAGCAAGGUGUAGGAUGAUACGCCCACAACUCAAAAGUCACGUACCACGAGAGAGCUUCUAGACGAUCCAGACCACCAUCAAUUCGUGCUUUAGGCAACCUCUCGGGGCAAGUAAACUUUGAAUUCCACGAAUCACUCUGACUCUGGUUGGUUCCAUUACUGACAAAAAGGAGGGAUUUACUCCGCAGAACAAACUCCUUGACACCGUCACAAAUUACCUCAGCAGAAGAUGUUGUCACAAAUCAGAACACUGGAAAUUCGGCAUCCUUGGGUAUGUAAAAUGGAAGCAACUCACGAGGAAAAGUUAAACUGAAUUCGUAGGAGUUUAAAAAUGACGUAAUCAUUCUAGAAUGUGAUUUUAAGAAAGGAACACGAAUAUCUCAAAAACCUUUUGACCGCUUCCUCUUUAAUAUACACAAAUUGACUCAAAAUGUUUUUUAACAGACAAAACAGAAGCUUUCUAUGGCAAGGGAUCUAUUUGGUCAAAAAAACUUCCACAGUCUCCUUCACGUUUUGAAUGUGCUGAUACAUACAGUAGGGAAAGAAAGUGGGAGAAAAGCUGACGUCGUAUUUUCAUAAACGGAUGGACUACGAGGACAGAUCACAGAAACUCAGUAUAGAAGGCAGCAGAAACUUUAAUCAAACAAGUCAUAAAUCUCCCCAUGAAUAGCUGUUUUAGAGAUGGUAUCGAGCGCCCCAACCCCCCCAAUCCACCACCGCCACAUUUGAAGUUGCAAAGCUAGAAAGGAAUUAUUGGACAGGUUUUAGAAGGUCUAAACACAAUUUCCGAUGGUUCUAAAUUGCUAUAUCCUGUCCACUAAGCAUGUGACUCUUGUAAGAACUAUCGACCCUGCUCUGUUUUUAUUGGCAGGAAGCCAGGAACAAAUUGUUGUAGAAUAAAGUGUAGAACCAUACCUGUAUCGAUACCUCACUCGGCAAAGUGUAUCAACUUAAUACUGAAACAGAAAAGAGAGGGAAAAAGAAGUGCAUUUAAAUGGCAGCUUUGUUGCAUGGUGGACUAGUUAAAUUGGCACAGGCACUAAUGUAUAGUCAAGUAGGAGAAAAAACGAGAAAAGAAAAAAAUGACAAAGGACGCUUAAAGCAAGCAAGACACUGCUCCAACUCUUUGAAGGGAACACAGGACAGGAUGCAUCAAGCAUUGGAAGGCACAAGCACUUAACAGUAAAACUAAGAGAGAAAGGUUAUCAUAGUCAAACAGGAAACAAAACGUUAUUGAUCCUCAUGGUAUGGUGGUGUUGAUCGAACACAGAGU
RNAcentral lists this long non-coding RNA (1378 nucleotides) under Eucalyptus grandis. RNAcentral describes it as "long non-coding RNA (EGRA_LNC005283)". Lineage: Eukaryota; Viridiplantae; Streptophyta; Magnoliopsida; Myrtales; Myrtaceae. The record is from RNAcentral.